CUCGCAUGCCUCAAUGAAAAAAGACCAGCGAAAAAAGACCUACGAAAGAAAAAACAACGACAAAAAAUCAGGCGACUCGCACGCACGAGCGAGGCCUAUCCCGUCGCCACCGCCCGACGCCGCCAGCCCCGGCCUCCUCCCUGGCUCCCAGCGCCGCCCGCCCCCCAUCUCCUCCUGCGAUCCUGGCGUCGCCCCGCCCCACCUUCUCCCUCACUUCCGGCGCUACCUAUCGAUCCCCUCGACGACACAGAGCCGCCGUCCUCUCGUGCGAUCUCGCAGCCGCAUCCGCCAACGCCGAUCCGGGCAGACGCGGCCGUCGUGGAUCACGAGGAUCCGGAUGAUGGGGGCGUGGAGAUGGCCAUGGAUCUGUUACAACGACGACGGCGCCGGAUCCGCACCCGCAACAUCCGGAUGGAGGCCGGCGACGAACCCUAGCCUAGCCGUCAGCAUCGGGAUCCAACCCCUUCUCUCGGUGUUGGGGCAAGGCGUAUGGGGGUGCUUGUUGCGGCGGUGGACCUCGACCCGGCGACAUCUGCAGCAUCUCCCUCCCGUCGGGCUGCAGGACCUGUACGCCCAAGGGAUGUGAUGUAUGCACCUCAUGGUACACAUAGGGUUUUGAUUUGCUUUCCUUGACUGCAGAAGAUGUUAUUAUGAUGAGCCAGGUCAUGGUCUGCUACUGCGUGCAUGACAACAUGAGGUGUCGCAAUCGGUGCGGUAUGCUGGUGAUAGAUGUUCUCGAUUGUGAUGCCCAAGCCUGUCUGCCGCAAUUGUGUGUUCGUUACUGCUGAGGUUAGAAAAAGCAUACAUCAAUUUUUCUCCUGCAAUUGUACGGUCGUUUCUGCUUUAGUUUAGAAAAACAUAAAACUGAGUUAUUUUUGCCUUUGGCAGACAGUCAUCCUACUUCGUAGUAAUCUGUGCCUUUCGUAUUUGCAUACUAAUCACGAGCCUUUUCUUCAUAAUGCUAAAUUUUGAAUUGCUUUGGCUCUAUAAUUUGUUUGAACUGAUCAUUUAAGAAUUUCAGAUAAGCGCAUCCAGAUCUUUUGACCCUUCCACGAAAAGGUGUAACAUGGUAAAUUUGUCGCAACAAGCAGCAUGGCAUUCUUGAUAGCUUUUCUCCCUAUUAUGACUUGCAUCUUUCUACCUUGCCCCAAAUUAAAUUUGAUUGGGACUGUUUGAUUGAAUGUCAAAUAAAGAUCAACUUUAUCUCUGAUCGAUUCAUGGAAAUGGAAACUGAAUAAUAUUCUGAUUAUUACUUGCAUGCUAUAUUCACUGUUUUUGGUUUAACAACUUGCAAGUGUUUCUUUUAAUCCGCAGAAAAAGGACUCACGGGUGGACAUCUGCUAUAAAUUACCUAGGCCUGGUCAUCUGCGUGAGUUGCAUCUGUCAUUUUUCUUCCCAGGUAGAACAUUAGUUUUGAUUAAAAACAAGGUAGAACAUUAGUGUUCUCCACAGUUUGAUGGGAACACUUUGACUUUCUGUAACCCCUAGAUUUGGUAUUUCCUGAUGAUUGCUUGCGGUUCUUCUUACUUUCUGGUAUAAAUAGAGAAAAAUGAGGAUAUUGUAGUUAUUUUAGAAUGUUCAAGAUUUAGGUGUCCAUACUGUGCUAACUAUGGUCUGAAUUGUUUUGCGGAAUCAUGAUGUCAUGUCGUGAUUACACAAUUCCAAGCUGUGGUUCAGAAGCACACUUCGCUAAAAUACACAUAAUGGUUUUUUUGGGUUUUCUUCUCACAAUAUAUGUACGUAAAUCAUGUAAUUUGCAACCUUGGUAAGUGCACCUCGAGCUGGUUGAAACAUGCCUGUUCCAAUCAUGAACGGACAUGAAGGCAGCCGGUGGGAUUUACUAUUGCGUCUCGACCUACUCGGAGCAGGAGAGGCCAGGCUGUGGCAGCCGCGGUCGUGGCGUCGUGCAUGUGGCAUCGACGCAGGUGAGAAUACAUCCAUGGCAGUCUCGUGGGCCGAGCGUCAAGGUGAUGGUAGCCGACCCUCCACGCCCCCUCUAGGGAUGGGAAGUGGCGGGCAGAGUACCUCCCCCGCGCAUGUCAGAGUUGCAAACACUUUCAAUUUCAACUGUGUGGUGAUCAGGACAUUCUGUGUUGCUUGGACAACCGAGCUAAGACGGCGAUGCCACCACCUACUUGUAUCUGUACAGGACCUCCGGUGAUUAUUUCUUUCUGCUGAGCACCUUCAAUUCCCCUUUCCCCAGCUCGAAGGAAUUGGCGCCUCCGUUAGUGACCCCGAGUAGUGAUGCAAUGAUGUAUUGUUUGAUCUUCUCCAAAGAUUUUCAAAUAGUUAUACUUUGAUUCAGAGCUCGUUGUGUUUUACUGUAUAUGCAGUUUGUUCUUAUGAAUUUCUCCGAGUAGGUAGAUCCUUUAGGGUUACUAACUUACUGUGAACAAAUGUUUUGUCUUGUUCAUGUAGUUUUCAAAAAUGAAGAAGCUUGUCGUUCAACCGAUGACAAAACACCUAGAGUACGUGCAAAAAUUACUACUUCCUCAUUUACAGCAAACUCAUUGAUACGACAAAGGCAAAAUUUUGGGUGGCAAGGUAUAUGAUUAGAUCAUGUGUAAUCUUCUAGAUGCAUUUUUCUAUUCUUCCAUUGUGUUCUUUAGACAUGCCUCUUUUUGUUAUUUUACAUCAGUUAACUGAAGUUCAUAUUAUUCCUUUAUCUGAUUGUAGCUUCAAAGUUUGAUUACAGCAGAGUCAUUGAUACAACAUACACAGUUUGUGAAUUUACCUACUACUACGAGUUACGUCAUAUAGCAAUGUUUUCUUGCCUAGAAAAAUAUUACAUGAAAGGCCUAAUGUCUUGUGAAUGUGUAUAGUAGCUACGAGUAGGUGGUCAAACUGUACACCUUUAAAGCAUGAAUAAGGUGCUAACUUAUGUGCUGCAGUUGCUUUGCAUUGUUCAGAUGCAAUGUGUUUUCGCUCAGCGGGAGCACUUCUUCUGAUUAUUUAUAAUUUUUAGUUUGCUUCUUAUAAUUUUAAGACAAUUUUUGCGACUUGGAAUGUAUAGCAUCCCCCUUUUCUCACUGGAAAUGACAUGUAAGAACAAACCAGUUCCAGUUCUGGCAUAGUUCUGAUGGUUGAAGUGUAUGUCUAUAUGAUUUAGUAUAUGCAUGGGAGUACCCGCUAAACGAUGAAGCAUAUUGUGUCGUGUUAGCUCCAUCUAGCUUUAUUAUCUUGAAUUUUGUAUCUAGCUUUUGUAUGUUGUAUUCCCUUUCACCGCGUCUACAUACUUGAUGAAGCUUUUUUCUGAUUGCAAAGUAUGUGCAAGUCAGUAGUGAACACUCUAUAUCGUUGUUCCAGAAAAGCAAGAUUCAGCAAUUUCCGCAACAUUUCAUGUCCGUUCCAUGUAGUAGUUUUUGCGCAAUUAUAUUGAUUUCCUUUUACCUUCAUAUUUGCUUAGUUUUCUUAUAGCAAACACAAAAAGCUUUGUGUCUUGAAGCAUUGAUAGAAGCGAACAUAAUUCAUGAUACAAGCCUAAUACUCUGAAAAUAUUUUUACGGUUCACUAUUCCUACGAGGGGAGUGAGUGGAGACAGCCAUGAGUGGCUCAACAUGUCGAGCAGCGGCCGCCUAUGAGGGGAGUGAGUGGAGACGCGCAAAUAUGUGUGGUGGAGGGGCAACGGAAGCUUGAACGGAAGAUUCGUCGCCAACAUCGAAGAAAUCUAUGGCCUGAUCGACCCUAAAGCUCCUGCAUGGACGCGAAGGUGACCGGGGGCAGAUUGCCGACAUUUGCCACACUAUGGGCAAUCUAUGUGAUGAUCUGCUCUCCGCAAUCGGAAUGAGCGGCAAGAUCUCUUCGGGAAUGGCUGAUGAGGAAGAAUUGACUGCGGGGGAAUGGUGGAUCUAGGUGGAGUUCGCUUUAGCCAGUGAGGGACGAGCUUUAGUUGUGUAGGGGAAGGGAAGCCACAUGCAUGAGUCAGACAUAAUAAAUCGGCUCGAAAAUGACUCUGUUAGUCCAGAAUCUCGUCUUGGCCGACCCAUAUGGUGGUCUGACAUUCGAUCCGGUGUGAAAGUGCCUCACAUAGUCAUGUUUCAUGGACUUCAGAUGUGGGCCAUAUUCACUGUUCAAAAGAAGCAUACAUAGAUUAUUAGUGGCCUAUGUGUGUUGGGCUGUAAAUCCCGGGGCAACUUGAUGGGAGGGAUAACGAGCACACAUGUGCUCCAACACAUAAUAGAGUGCAUAUAACAUGGCUUUCUCACGACUUUAUGCCACUAAUAAGAAGUCCUUUCAUUUUA
Triticum aestivum (bread wheat) is the source of this 4241-nucleotide RNA transcript. RefSeq lists it as uncharacterized. The transcript has 7 exons. Lineage: Eukaryota; Viridiplantae; Streptophyta; Magnoliopsida; Poales; Poaceae. The record is from RefSeq and is a predicted model, not a curated record.